UCCUCGGCCUCGCCUCCCCGUCUCCUCGCGAGCUCGCCCGCCGCCUUCUCCCUCCGCGCGAGCAGCGGCGCCGCCGUCCUGCUGCUGCUCCGCCGCAUCCUCGCUGGUGAGCACCGCAAGUAAGGAUGAGUAGGCGCUGGAGCCGGACCAUUUAUGUGGGGAACCUCCCGGGCGACAUCAGGGAGAGGGAGGUGGAGGAUCUAUUCUACAAGUAUGGACGAAUUGUUGAUAUUGACUUGAAGAUUCCCCCAAGGCCACCUGGUUUUGCUUUCGUUGAGUUUGAAGAUCCCCGUGAUGCUGAAGAUGCAAUCCAUGGACGGGAUGGCUACAACUUUGAUGGUAACCGAUUGAGGGUGGAACUUGCACACGGUGGGAGAGGUAACUCUUCCUCCUUUAACGGUUCUGGUGGAGGAGGACGUCGUGGUGGUGUAUCUAGGCAUACAGAGUAUCGUGUUCUGGUUACUGGACUACCUUCUUCAGCAUCAUGGCAGGAUCUAAAGGAUCAUAUGCGAAAUGCUGGUGACGUUUGUUACUCUGAAGUGUACCGUGAAGGCAGUGGUACUAUAGGAAUUGUAGACUACACAAACUAUGAUGACAUGAAGUAUGCUAUCAGGAAACUUGAUGACUCUGAAUUUAAGAAUGCUUUCUCAAAGGCCUAUAUAAGGGUGAAGGAGUAUGAUGGAAAACGCAGCCGCUCAUACUCGCGAAGCCGGAGCCGGAGCCGGAGCCGAGGUCGCAGCGACAGCAAAAGCAGGAGUCCAAGUAAGUCUCCCAAGGGUAAGUCAUCACGCCGUUCGGCAUCUAGAUCUCGAUCUCGAUCAGCUUCUUCCCAUUCAAGAUCAGAGUCAAAGGGGCGCUCUCCAUCAAGAUGAGGAUUUGUGCGGAGAUCUAGGGAUUGCAUAACGGGAAAUCGAAGUUGGGGUUUCUUCUGUUUGCAACAAAUCUAAUGGUUGUGUGAGACUAUCAGAGCCUGGGCAUAGGGAAUUGCUUUGGGACACUGGAGGUAGAGCAUUAAGGAUUGAUACGCAAUGGCUGUGGUUGCUCGGAUUGAGUAAAUGAGGAACAAAUUCCUUGCUUGCUCUUGUUGAGCUCACUUUGGAGGAAUAUUCUAGCGAAUAUGGUCACGUAACAUUUGAUACUAAACACUUUGAAUGUUUUGAUCUUUGAGGACUUGGAUCUCUUCUAAUUUCCAUGAGCUCUUUUUGCUUGCAAUUGGCCAUUCCAAUGGUUGGGAGGCGUGAAGGCUUUUUGGAAGCAAGCUGUUAAAGCUGCAUUCUGGAAUCUGGAUAUUGAAUCUGUUAUUUCUGGAACUUUUUGCAGAUCACCAGCAAGAUCAAAGUCACCAAAUACCUCUCCUGCCAAUGGUGAAGCAGCAAGCCCCAAGAAACGUAGCCCAAGCAGGAGCCCGUCCCGUUCCCG
Molecule: RNA transcript, 1419 nt
Organism: Oryza brachyantha (malo sina)
Lineage: Eukaryota; Viridiplantae; Streptophyta; Magnoliopsida; Poales; Poaceae
Gene name: serine/arginine-rich-splicing factor SR34
Exons: 14
Source: RefSeq, a predicted model, not a curated record